This 520-nucleotide ribosomal RNA is filed under the name uncultured bacterium. Its description in RNAcentral is "bacterial SSU rRNA". It matches the Rfam family "Bacterial small subunit ribosomal RNA", at positions 988 to 1509 of the family's 1533-position model. The record is from RNAcentral.
CCAGAGAACUUUCCAGAGAUGGAUUGGUGCCUUCGGGAACUCUGAGACAGGUGCUGCAUGGCUGUCGUCAGCUCGUGUUGUGAAAUGUUGGGUUAAGUCCCGCAACGAGCGCAACCCUUAUCCUUUGUUGCCAGCGGUCCGGCCGGGAACUCAAAGGAGACUGCCAGUGAUAAACUGGAGGAAGGUGGGGAUGACGUCAAGUCAUCAUGGCCCUUACGAGUAGGGCUACACACGUGCUACAAUGGCGCAUACAAGAGAAGCGACCUCGCGAGAGCAAGCGGACCUCAUAAAGUGCGUCGUAGUCCGGAUUGGAGUCUGCAACUCGACUCCAUGAAGUCGGAAUCGCUAGUAAUCGUAGAUCAGAAUGCUACGGUGAAUACGUUCCCGGGCCUUGUACACACCGCCCGUCACACCAUGGGAGUGGGUUGCAAAAGAAGUAGGUAGCUUAACCUUCGGGAGGGCGCUUACCACUUUGUGAUUCAUGACUGGGGUGAAGUCGUAACAAGGUAGGCGUAGUGCU